This 196-nucleotide non-coding RNA is filed under the name Dorea sp. Lineage: Bacteria; Bacillati; Bacillota; Clostridia; Lachnospirales; Lachnospiraceae. The record is from RNAcentral.
UACAGAAGCCCGAACAGAUUUUGCAGUGGCUUAUUAUAUUUUUCAAGGAACAUGCGGUGAGAUUCCGCCACAGACUUUAUCCCUACUGUAAUCAGGACGAAAGCGUCAGAUCCAUUGAGAACGAGAGGUUCUUGAGAAGGGACGUGAGUAGGUUGGAACUGCGAGACAGGAUACAGGUAUCUGGAGAUCAUAAAAG